This 69-nucleotide transfer RNA is filed under the name Praslinia cooperi. RNAcentral's name for it is "tRNA-Asp". The record is from RNAcentral. Lineage: Eukaryota; Metazoa; Chordata; Amphibia; Gymnophiona; Indotyphlidae.
AAGAUGUUAGUAAUAAAAUUACAUUACCUUGUCAAGAUAAAAUCAUGAGUUAAACCCUCAUACAUCUUA